AUCCAGCUGACGAGUUCCAAAUAGGAUGAAACGCGCUUCCGGGAU
Non-coding RNA from Schistosoma mansoni, 45 nucleotides. NCBI's taxonomy places the organism in Eukaryota, Metazoa, Platyhelminthes, Trematoda, Strigeidida, Schistosomatidae. The record is from Rfam.